AAUCUGCUGAACAGCAAAUUUUUGUAAAGAAGCAAGCAUUCUUGUAAAGCAUUGCAUUCCAAAACUCAAGAAAACUCAGGUAAUGGAAUAGAAGAAUACAAGUAAACUUCCAGCUUUCCCACAGAAGGUGGCAGCAUUGGAAGCACUAAUUUCAGUUUGAGUGUUCGAGCUGAUGUCUCCCCUGCUGAUAGGACAGGAGCAUCUCAGAAAUGUGUUCUCCUCAGAGGAUGUGGUGACUGUAAACAACAGUGCUUAGGGGCAGUUUCACUCUGAGUCUAGAGGACUUGCAGAGGAAGGAGAAACUGCAUUCACACAGGCUGUGUUAGCAAGCAGAACACACAGGUGUUCAAUCAACACACAUGUUGAUUGAACAGGUGUAAAGCCAGAAGGAUUUUAUUUUAACCUAGCUUUAUUUACUAAUUUUAAGUGUAAUACUGCUGGAGUGCCUGUUAAUGGCAGCUGACUCAAGAAGGAAUUGCUGCGUACUUGCAGUCUGAGUUCUUGAUCCUGUGUCCUACCAUGGCAGUCCUGCUAGCACAGAGACCUUGCAGCCCCUUUGACAGGUUAACACUUAGUGAACCUGCCUGGCUGCUUAUCAGGUACCUCAUCUGGGCAAGGAAGUGGUGACUGACAGAUGCAGAAGUAGUUGUUGCUUAAACCUCUCUGCUGUGAUUAACCCUGCACACACUGCCAGUGCAUCUGAAGAAUUUCUCAGUCAGGUUAGCCAAAGCCACAUGUGAAGCUGGUUUAGACUAGUGGUUUUCUAAUCACUGUAUGUAUAGUUCCUUUAAUGGACCGGAAAGGAAGCUGAGACAGCACGGGGAUCUUAUUCCUAUCCUUUCUGCAGAUUCAUGAAGCCCCCAUACUCUCAUCCAAGAGGAGGGAAGAGGCUGGAUUCUUGCAUGUCUAGUAGGAAAAAAAAAAAAAAAGGACAGGAAAAUUGUAUCCCACAGAAGAGGUUUUUGCCAGUGAAGAACUGCUGACCAUUGUGGGUUCCUGUGUGUUUGGCAGAUUUUUGCUUUCCCUCUCUUGGAAUGGAAACAAAUAAUAAUAUGUAUGUGUAUACAUAUAUAUGGCUGGGAUAUUUCUACAGCAGUUAUCUGCAGUUGUUGUCUUCCAGGCUGGCAAGAAACAUUGCUAACCUGCUUUGAGGAAGGGAACCAGCGUGUAUGUUGGAGAUAUAGCUAUGUCUGGUUUGCAGUGAUUUGGGGCCAGGCCAGUGAUUGUAAAUGUGUGUCAGUUGUGCAUGAGAGGUCCAAACAAUUACAGAAAAAGGGAAGGGGCCCAAAGUCUGAAACGUUUGGGAACUGUUGAGAAAAACAAGCUGCUUUGUUUUGUUGGCUUGAAGGGCUCAAGCAAUUGCCUACUGAAUCUCAGUUGGAAGAGGCAACUUGCAGCUGAGAGGAGAUAAGGAGCUUCCAGAAACACAUAUUGGAUGUAACUCUGGAAAGGAGAGGCCUUUUCCAAUCCCUGUAGUGGUCAGUCUAGUUCAUAGAGUGACUGUGCUCCAUGACAGUCAGCAUGUGGAUGUCUGAAUGUUGAUACUUGGUGCCUUACGAACACAACCAUGAGGACCUGCUUCAUGCCAACAGCAUUAAUUGCCAUUUCAUCAACAGCAGCUCUCAUGGAGUUGUUUACUGCUCUCCAUUGCCCAUUCUGAAAAUCUGACCAGGAAAGUUUGAAGGUAACCACAGUAAAAUUUGAUUGUUGUCUCUCAGCAUUCAGUGCUUUGGACAGAGCAUUUUCCCCAACAAGAUGUGAGCAAAAGCACUCUACAUCGAGGGAAUGACAAACACUUAAUAGAUACUUAUAAAGAGAAAUGUAUCAUGUGGAUCUGUGUGUGGAAUUGGACUUAAAUGAAAUAAGUGCAAAGAGACGGAACUUCUGCCAUCAACCAUGUUACUUUUAUUUAAUAAGUAAGGUGUGUUUUUAAUAUAAGUGGUUUUUUAUUUUUAUUUUGCUGCUGACUUUUCAACAGUACCGUACCCAAAUGAUUUUACAAAUGUAAUGCUCAAUACACAGUUUAUUGCUCAUUGUUUUUGUAGGAACAUAACUUCUAUAAUGGGAAUGAAUUUAAGAAUGAGUAAGGCACCCUACUAAUGUGCUGAUUUCAUCUGUUGUAGCAACAUGCAUAAAAUUUCAUUUUGCUUUUCCCACUGUCCUUAUUAGGUAAGAAGUAAGUUAGACUUUAUUAUCUGUACAAAGCCCAAUGCCUUACCUAAAAAGUCAAAACUUGAAAACGCUUCCUAAUUUUUAACAUAACCUCCCACCUUAUAAAAUUAGCUUUCAUGCAGUGUAUCUUGAUUUCUGCUUUAUCUGAAGGCAAAAGUUAAUUCUGUUCUUUCCUUGCCUUUGCCUUUACUAGGAUACUUGCCUUGCAAGAGGACUGUUCACAUACUACUUAAGACAGAUGACCUGACUUGCUUUGUAUCCAUGUUUUCUUCUUGCACUGACCCUGUUCAAAACAUAAUGAAAAUGCAAAGGCAUCUCCACUGCCUGAUUUUGUGAUGCUGGGCCCCAAACAAUCAUUAGCAUGGGAGAGAACCUCCACAGAAGCCACUUACAAGAUCUCGUUUCACUCUGCCCUAAAUUAGACCUUCCCAGCAGUUUUCAAAGUUGUCCGUUUUCCUCGAGGAUCCACUGUAGCUCUUUCUCUUUCAGGGCUGCAAACAGCACUGUCUCAGGCAGCCACCUCAUAAGCCACCAGGGCAGCAAUCAGUUUGUGGAGGCUUCAAUGACUGACAACCUAUUGCUGAAGUGCAGACACAUGAUCAAAUAAGCAAACCAAUGACACCACCAUAUCCAGCUCCCAUCUUUCUUGAAACACUUUGUUACACUCUUAUUGGAAAUUAUUGGAAAGGAUAGCAGAGAUAAUGGAUUCAGAAUGAUACAUUUUUUAAUUUAAAACAGACUAUAUCAUAAUUUCCUAGUGCUCUAUGGUUUCUUAUUUAAAACUGUAACGUUCUUGCAAGGUAAUACAAACAUAACAGACAGUUACCAGUUAUAUGGAGUAUCUAGUACAGAUAUGACAAUGCCCAGCUAUACACAAACAUUGAAAUGCAAAAUGUCUUUUAAUUACAUAAGUUAUUACAGUACUCUUUUAAAGGAAUCUUUUGGUUAUAUGUAAACGCUAUACAUAAGCCGCAUAAAAAAAUACACACGUAAAAUGAAUAUGGCAUUGGCAUAGUUUAAAACACAGUAACUAGCCCUAAAUCUGGAUAUUGUCAGGGUAAAACAGCAAAAGCUGAUCAGUCUAAUGCUACGGAAUAGCAUGCCACAAUUUGGACUUGUUUGAAGAACCAGUGCUUCUUUGAGUUCCUUCCUUAUGUUUUCUUAAGAUCUUCAGCUAAGGAAUGGGCCAACUUGUACUAUGUUUGGCAGGACAAUAAAUGUUAUUUUGAAUGUUGCCAUUUUAAUAUUAAAAGCCAUCUAAAUUAACUCUCCUAAAUACGUACUGGUUUAAAUUAAAAUCUUGAGGAAUUACAAUCUAUUUACUUGAUGAUUUUGGUUAAAUGCAACUUGAUGUAUGCAGAAUGCUGUUUCAUUUAAGAUCAUUCUUAGUAAGGCAUAUUAAAAAUAAAUACAAAAGUGACAACAUA
Long non-coding RNA from Centrocercus urophasianus (Greater sage-grouse), 3599 nucleotides. RefSeq lists it as uncharacterized. Lineage: Eukaryota; Metazoa; Chordata; Aves; Galliformes; Phasianidae. The record is from RefSeq and is a predicted model, not a curated record. The transcript is spliced from 2 exons.